This 705-nucleotide ribosomal RNA is filed under the name uncultured Ascomycota. RNAcentral describes it as "bacterial SSU rRNA". It matches the Rfam family "Eukaryotic small subunit ribosomal RNA", at positions 402 to 1114 of the family's 1831-position model. The record is from RNAcentral. Lineage: Eukaryota; Fungi; Ascomycota.
AACGGCUACCACAUCCAAGGAAGGCAGCAGGCGCGCAAAUUACCCAAUCCCGACACGGGGAGGUAGUGACAAUAAAUACUGAUGCAGAGCUCUUUUGGGUUUUGCAAUUGGAAUGAGUACAAUUUAAAUCCCUUAACGAGGAACAAUUGGAGGGCAAGUCUGGUGCCAGCAGCCGCGGUAAUUCCAGCUCCAAUAGCGUAUAUUAAAGGUGUUGCAGUUAAAAAGCUCGUAGUUGAAAUUGGGCUUGGCUGGUCGGUCCGCCUCACGGCGAGUCUGACCUCGGCCAAGCUGUUUCCUCUUGGGCCGCUCGAGCGCACUUGACUGGGCGUUCGGGAUGGACCAGGACUUUUACUUUGAAAAAAUUAGAGUGUUCAAAGCAGGCAUUUGCUCGGAUACAUUAGCAUGGAAUAAUAGAAUAGGACGUCGAUCUUAUUUUGUUGGUUUCUAAGACCGCCGUAAUGAUUAAUAGGGAUAGUUGGGGGCAUUAGUAUUCAAUUGUCAGAGGUGAAAUUCUUGGAUUUAUUGAAGACUAACUACUGCGAAAGCAUUUGCCAAGGAUGUUUUCAUUAAUCAAGAACGAAAGUUAGGGGAUCGAAGACGAUUAGAUACCGUCGUAGUCUUAACCAUAAACUAUGCCGACUAGGGAUCGGGCGCAGUUAAAUUGACUCGCUCGGCACCUUAUGAGAAAUCAAAGUUUUUGGGUUC